GGCACGUUGGCGGCUUGGCGGUUUGGCAGCUUGGCGGCUCGGCGGCUUGAUGGCUCGGUGGUCUGGCUGCUUGGAAGUGUUGUCCUCGGCUGCAAGGGUGGGCAUUAAAUGGGUUGGAGAAGAGGAUGGUAUCAAAUGGUAUCAUUCGUACACAACACAUCAGUAUCUCUACAUCUUCAUGUAGCCAUAUGCAUCCAGGCAUUCGAGGCCCGCAGGCGCAUGCUGCGUCGGCUUCGAGGCCACGAGGCGCGCACGACGUCGGUUUCGAGGCCACCAUCGUCACCCAUGUAUGGACGUUGCCAUGCAUGUGAAUGGGCUGCAUGUGGAUAUACGUGAUAGACAUAUGGGGUUACCUGUCUUGCCUAUAGAGGUGAGUUAAGAGGGGGGCCGGGAAGAGGAGCUGGACCACCAAUAAGGGCGUGAAAAGGGAGAGUCCUUGGUGCAGGGCGUGAGACGGGAGAGCCCCAACACUUGCGUACUAACACCCGAGGGUGAUCAGCCCGACGGCUAGGAGAGCGUGAGAGGUGCGUACUCCUCGUAGGGCAUGGGACGCUCCCGGUCCACCCCACGGGGGCUUCAGUGGGUUCAAAUCCCGCAUUGAUCGAGGUAUGUGAGUUCGUACUGCCUCUGCCAUGCUGCCUGGGUCGAAGCUUCUUCCUUGCUGACUUCACACAAUCGCCCUGCGCAAACGUCUUGACCUUCUGGACUAAUUGGGCUAUCUGGAUCCCUAAGCUUGCUAACCUGGGCGGUUAUCAUCAGGAAUUCGAGGUAGGAAAAUAACGACACUCGGGUGUACUGCUGUCGCGUCAUUGUAUGGCCUUGGCGUUUAGGUGCGGCUUAACAACCGUCACAGGUGACGUUGCGUGUGAUGCGUUGCAUCACACGUUUACGAUUAUGCAUAUCGCAUUUCACAUUUACCUUCAACCUGUUCUGUGUAUGUGUCUACGUUGCAGGAUCGUGGAAGUGCAUACCCCGUACCUGUAAAAACCGCCUAAUACGCAUCGAGGGCAGAAGAGCUCCCUUCCUAAUCGCCUGUACGCACCAUCCCACCACUCCAGACACAGCAAGUGAUAAAGCUAACGACCAAAGGGAACGGUAGAGUUGCGACGGGACCACAUACGUUCCAGCAUCUUCGCCAGACGUUCAGGAUUCCACUUCAUAUAACGCCCUUCAUAUGCGCGAAGCGUGGGAAAUCCGUUUCAGACCUUCCAGCGGAUCAGUCCAGCGGAUCAGUCCAGCGAGAGGUGCUCCUCAGGAACUUUUUGCUGGUGAAGGCGAUUGGUUCUCCGUUCUUCAGUAGGGCUGCACCCGUACCGUGCAAGGACGCGUGAAACAGAGGUCACUUAGAACGUGAAAGGUCAUGUCCGGGUACCGGGUUAGCAGUACAUCGUCGGCCAACGCGUUUUUCACCAUCUCAAAUGCCUGUACCCGUUUAGGUGUCCAGUCUUCCGUCCGGAACGUGAUCAUGUAACAUAUCUCUGUGGGGAGCCGAAAGUGUGAAGCGUACGCUUUAACGAGGUUUCGGAAACAGCUCGUAAGCCCCAAGAACUGCCGUAACUCGGAUGUAUUCUUUGGCAACGGCCACUCACGGACAGUCUUCGCCUUCUUAGGAUCCAUGCGAACUCCGUCGGCACUAACGAUGUGACCGAG
Molecule: long non-coding RNA, 1650 nt
Filed under: Volvox carteri
Lineage: Eukaryota; Viridiplantae; Chlorophyta; Chlorophyceae; Chlamydomonadales; Volvocaceae
Description: long non-coding RNA (VCAR_LNC001734)
Source: RNAcentral